AGUGAACGCUGGCGGUAGGCCUAACACAUGCAAGUCGAACGGCAGCACAGUAAGAGCUUGCUCUUACGGGUGGCGAGUGGCGGACGGGUGAGGAAUACAUCGGAAUCUACUUUUUCGUGGGGGAUAACGUAGGGAAACUUACGCUAAUACCGCAUACGACCUACGGGUGAAAGCAGGGGAUCUUCGGACCUUGCGCGAUUGAAUUAGCCGAUGUCGGAUUAGCUAGUUGGCUGGGUAAAGGCCCACCAAGGCGACGAUCCGUAGCUGGUCUGAGAGGAUGAUCAGCCACACUGGAACUGAGACACGGUCCAGACUCCUACGGGAGGCAGCAGUGGGGAAUAUUGGACAAUGGGCGCAAGCCUGAUCCAGCAAUACCGCGUGGGUGAAGAAGGCCUUCGGGUUGUAAAGCCCUUUUGUUGGGAAAGAAAAGCAGCAGGUUAAUACCCCGCUGUUCUGACGGUACCCAAAGAAUAAGCACCGGCUAACUUCGUG
RNAcentral lists this ribosomal RNA (492 nucleotides) under uncultured bacterium. Its description in RNAcentral is "partial 16S ribosomal RNA". It matches the Rfam family "Bacterial small subunit ribosomal RNA", at positions 29 to 507 of the family's 1533-position model. The record is from RNAcentral.